Molecule: long non-coding RNA, 3329 nt
Organism: Myotis myotis
Lineage: Eukaryota; Metazoa; Chordata; Mammalia; Chiroptera; Vespertilionidae
Exons: 2
Source: RefSeq, a predicted model, not a curated record
GCUCCUGCAUUGAGCGUCUGCCCCCUGGUGGUCAGUGCACAUCAUAGCGACUGAUCAUUCCGCCCUUCGGUCGAUUUGCAUAUUACCCUUUUAUUAUAUAGGAUUGCUUUCUAUAUAUGUACUCUAAAGUUUCAUCAGAACCGUAGAAUGUUUGAAAGGAAGAAAGCUUUGCUUACUCUUCUUUCAACAGAUGACAGAUUAUAUGUGCCCCUCCUUCCUGACUGCAAAGGAGAUGGGCAUAUCUGCCACACUUUUGAUAUUUGAUAGGAGACUAGGACUUCCAGAAUCUGAGCACUUUCUCUAUUGGCAGCUUGUUUGUCCAACGCAAGAGUGUUUACAUAGUACAAGGGGCUGGCAGUUUGUUUGGAUGGACUAGUAGGAAGAAUGCAAUGUUCCCAGCCUGGUUUCCACCUGUUCUGCUGAGCUGGAAUAGUGAAACCUGAGUGGACUUUCCUUCCUUACUCUAGGCUAUCAGCUAUCUAGGAUGCAGGCUAUGCCAGACCCAGAGCUUCAAGAUGAGCUAAGCUGGAGGCAAAACAUUCCCCCAAGAGACUUGCCUUCUUAGACUAUUCGAGGAUUACUGUAUUAAAACAUAUUUUGGACCUUUCAGAGGAUUGAAUCCUAAUAUUCAGAUAGUUUUCCCCUCAUUUGAAUUAUAGUCAGGAAAUGUGGUUUAUUGGAAAACAGACCCUCACAAGUAGUUUUAGACAGUUGUGUAGAAAAUUGAGUUUGUUGUUUUUAAUUUAUAAGGAAAUUAUUUCAAAUCUAUAAGUAAAUUAUUGAAACAGGAAAUGGAUCAUAGUUACCUAAUGCUCUUUAUAUGGCAUUUCUAACUUGUGCUUGACAUGUGUCUCUGCUUGGAAUUUUUCAGGGCUCCCUGGGUAGUAUCAGGAAAAAGAUACUGCUUCUGGAAGGCAGAUACAGACUGAAAGAACUCUUUAAGAAUAGAAGAUCUUAGAUUCUCCUCUGCUAUGUUCCCUUUGUUUUCUCUUGUGUGAAUUCUAACCAGUUUAACUCUCCCUUACUGAGUUUAGCUAUGGGGAUGCUGAGGCCAGGUGGAAAUAAAUGAAUGAACUACUAGAGUCUGACUUAUUCCUUUAGCACAUUUUCCUUUGUGAUCAUGGAGAAUAUGAGUGUGCUAUCCCCAUUCCUGGGGACUCAGCAGUUUUCUUUCCCUUAAACACACUUAACUUUAUAAUGUUAAAUCAGCUUUAUAUGACUUAAUAUUUUAAAAAGCUUAAUAUAAAUUAGCUUUAUAUUUCCUGUCAUUUUUGUGCUUCCCUCUUAGACUUCCUUUCCUCCGACAUACUCAUUUUCUUUUAUUAUUUUUAAGUGACUGCUUCAGUUUUACAAAACUCCUGUUUAGGAUGUUGACACCAAUAAGUAGUGAUGUCAGAAUCUAUUUUGUUUCUCUGUGAACAGUAGAUGAGAUAUUGACUCAUUCUAUGUCAUUCUUGGGCCAUUCCUUGAAAAUGGAAGGGAAUGUCUCUACAUUUGAAGGUAUCCAUUACUUCCUUCUUUGUAGUUCUAAUUGACUUCUUUACUAUCAUAAGGCGUGGGAAUUGAAGGGACACUAGCAAGUUUUAUCCUCAUGUAUUAUUUGCCUUUUAUAAAGCACUUUGCAAAACAAAGUGCUUUAUAUCCAUUUUAUUAUUUAUUCUCUAGUUCUAGUUACACUAGUCCUAUGAGACAGCAUAGUCCUAAAGAUAGGAAGACUAAAACUGUGAUAAAUAAAAAGAAAAGCUUACCCUGCCUUUACUGUACUUUAGUAGAAAUGUGGCAUGCUUUGUGGCAAAGCUGGAAUAGGAAUCAUUAGAAAUUGAAUUCAAGUCCAUGUUAUGACCUUCUGUUGCCUCACUACCCUAAGGGACUGAAUGUCAGUCCUGUGAUAGAAUAAAUAAAUGAAUCAGAGCCAGACCCUGCUCUCUGUUCUGUAUGAUUCUGAAUACAGAUACCUUACCUGGUGUUUCUUGGGUUGCAGUGACACUUUCCAUUUUAACCAUACAGAACCUGUAUCUUUACUGAGAAUUUAUUGCUUUUCAAAGGAGGUGGAAGACUCUCUAUGUGAUGUGUGUCCCUGAUUGGCUAUUUUCCCCAAGGACAGCUAACAAAUAUGUCAUGUGGGCUGAAAGACCAAUCAGGAUCCCCUGCUCUCAUUCAUAGGGAAAGACAUUAUUCUUGAAGGUUUGGUCUGAUAGUUUCCUGAGCUGUCUGUGACAGUCAUACUGUACUGUCAUUAACCUUGACUUGACACUUUUCCUCAGUUUGCUCAAUUUGAAUGAAGUAAUGAGUGAAUGAAUUUAUACUGUGCUUAAGAUGAUGCUCCUAAACCUACAGUGAUGCUAAUUUUAUUUUAUUUAUUUUCCCUUUUUUGUUUUAUUUUUUUUACAGUGAUGCUAAUUUUAAAAAUACUUAUUAAAUGUUGGGCAUAUUAAAUGAACAAGACAGGGUUUUUGCCCCUGGACAACUUACAGUAUGGUCCACAGAAACAGUUACAAUAAAUGGUCUGAAGAAGGAUCUGAUAUAAAAUACUUAGAGCCUGGCUUGACCCAGAGCCACCUUUCCGCCUUCCCACACUGACCAGAGGCCCAGAGCAGCUGGGGCGGUGUGGAACACCUGCGUCAUUGGUGCCUGCACAUGCUAAUUACCUCGCCAUCUUUGUUGGGUUAAUUUGCAUACUCACUCCUGGUUGGCUGGUGGGCAUCGUGAAGGUACGGUCGAUUUGCAUCUUUCUCUUUUAUUAGUGUAGACAAUAUUGGCACUAUUAGAUGGAGGUGCCCAGUUGAAGAUAAACUGAAUACUGUCUUGGAGUCAUAGUCCGACUUUAGAUUUUCUGAGUGUUAAAAGGGUCCCUUCUGAGGAUACCAGUGGGCCAUAUGGUUUGGACAAUCCAAGAAUCUGGAUCAGGUUCAGAAGGUAUUGUCAGUUUAAAAAGCCAGAACAAAAGUGAUUGAUGGGGGUGACAGUCUUUGAGGGUCUGGCUCAGUCUCAUGGUUCCAUCUUAAUUGUGUUCCUUGGCAUAGAGUUGUCAUCUGGAAUCUUUGUCCUAGGGAUUUCCUUUUCUUCUUUCAUGUGUUAGAUCUCCUAUUUCCUGUAUUUCAAGUCUUCUACUUUCUUAGGUUGAUCCCUCAUUUUGGUGGAUCAUAUACUACAAUAGCUUCCUGAAAGUUUAACUGUUUAAAAAUGUCUAUUCUGAACUCACAUUUGACUGAUAGUUUGGUCGAGUAUAUAGAAUUCUAGGUUGGAAAUUAUUUUUCUUCAGAUUUUAAAGGCCUUGUUCCAUUGCCAUCUAGCUUUUGGUUUAUUGUAAAAAAAAUUCAAAGCUUGCC